This 519-nucleotide ribosomal RNA is filed under the name alpha proteobacterium OS1. RNAcentral's name for it is "bacterial SSU rRNA". It matches the Rfam family "Bacterial small subunit ribosomal RNA", at positions 380 to 916 of the family's 1533-position model. The record is from RNAcentral. Lineage: Bacteria; Pseudomonadati; Pseudomonadota; Alphaproteobacteria.
AGCCUGACGCAGCCAUGCCGCGUGUAUGAUGAAGGUCUUAGGAUUGUAAAAUACUUUCACCGGUGAAGAUAAUGACUGUAGCCGGAGAAGAAGCCCCGGCUAACUUCGUGCCAGCAGCCGCGGUAAUACGAAGGGGGCUAGCGUUGCUCGGAAUUACUGGGCGUAAAGGGAGCGUAGGCGGACAUUUAAGUCAGAGGUGAAAUCCCGGAGCUUAACUUCGGAACUGCCUUUGAUACUGGGUGUCUUGAGUGUGAGAGAGGUAUGUGGAACUCCGAGUGUAGAGGUGAAAUUCGUAGAUAUUCGGAAGAACACCAGUGGCGAAGGCGACAUACUGGCUCAUUACUGACGCUGAGGCUCGAAAGCGUGGGGAGCAAACAGGAUUAGAUACCCUGGUAGUCCACGCCGUAAACGAUGAUUGCUAGUUGUCGGGAAGCUUGCUUCUCGGUGACGCAGCUAACGCAUUAAGCAAUCCGCCUGGGGAGUACGGUCGCAAGAUUAAAACUCAAGGAAAUUUGACGG